CAGUAGCCGCGGUAAUACGUAGGGUGCAAGCGUUAAUCGGAAUUACUGGGCGUAAAGCGUGCGCAGGCGGUUAUAUAAGUCAGAUGUGAAAUCCCCGGGCUCAACCUGGGAACUGCAUUUGAGACUGCAUGGCUAGAGUGUGUCAGAGGGGGGUAGAAUUCCACGUGUAGCAGUGAAAUGCGUAGAUAUGUGGAGGAAUACCGAUGGCGAAGGCAGCCCCCUGGGAUAACACUGACGCUCAUGCACGAAAGCGUGGGGAGCAAACAGGAUUAGAUACCCCCGUAGUCCCUGUCUCUUAUAC
This 301-nucleotide ribosomal RNA is filed under the name uncultured bacterium. RNAcentral's name for it is "partial 16S ribosomal RNA". It matches the Rfam family "Bacterial small subunit ribosomal RNA", at positions 509 to 807 of the family's 1533-position model. The record is from RNAcentral.